AGCGAACGCUGGCGGCAGGCUUAACACAUGCAAGUCGAGCGGGCACUUCGGUGUCAGCGGCAGACGGGUGAGUAACACGUGGGAACGUACCCUUCGGUUCGGAAUAACGCUGGGAAACUAGCGCUAAUACCGGAUACGCCCUUUUGGGGAAAGGUUUACUGCCGAAGGGUCGGCCCGCGUCUGAUUAGCUAGUUGGUGGGGUAAUGGCCUACCAAGGCGACGAUCAGUAUCUGGUAUGAGAGGAUGAUCAGCAACACUGGGACUGAGACACGGCCCAGACUCCUACGGGAGGCAGCAGUGGGGAAUAUAGGACAAUGGGCGCAAGCCUGAUCCAGCCAUGCCGCGUGAGUGAUGAAGGCCUUAGGGUUGUAAAGCUCUUUUGUCCGGGACGACAAUGACGGUACCGGAAGAAUAAGCCCCGGCUAACUUCGU
Molecule: ribosomal RNA, 432 nt
Filed under: uncultured bacterium
Lineage: Bacteria
Description: partial 16S ribosomal RNA
Rfam family: Bacterial small subunit ribosomal RNA
Source: RNAcentral